AGAGUUUGAUCCUGGCUCAGGAUGAACGCUAGCUACAGGCUUAACACAUGCAAGUCGAGGGGCAUCAGUUUGGUUUGCUUGCAAACCAAAGCUGGCGACCGGCGCACGGGUGAGUAACACGUAUCCAACCUGCCUCAUACUCGGGGAUAGCCUUUCGAAAGAAAGAUUAAUAUCCGAUAGCAUAUAUUUCCCGCAUGGGUUUUAUAUUAAGAAAUUCGGUAUGAGAUGGGGAUGCGUUCCAUUAGUUUGUUGGCGGGGUAACGGCCCACCAGGACUACGAUGGAUAGGGGGUUCUGAGAGGAAGGUCCCCCCANAUUGGAACUGAGACACGGUCCAAACUCCUACGGGAGCA
RNAcentral lists this ribosomal RNA (352 nucleotides) under uncultured bacterium. RNAcentral describes it as "bacterial SSU rRNA". It matches the Rfam family "Bacterial small subunit ribosomal RNA", at positions 8 to 349 of the family's 1533-position model. The record is from RNAcentral.